AUUGAACGCUGGCGGCAUGCUUUACACAUGCAAGUCGAACGGCAGCGCGGGCUUCGGCCUGGCGGCGAGUGGCGAACGGGUGAGUAAUACAUCGGAAAGUGCCCAGUAGUGGGGGAUAGCUCGGCGAAAGCCGGAUUAAUACCGCAUACGACCUGAGGGUGAAAGCGGGGGAUCUUCGGACCUCGCGCUAUUGGAGCGGCCGAUGGCAGAUUAGCUAGUUGGUGGGGUAAAGGCCUACCAAGGCGACGAUCUGUAGCUGGUCUGAGAGGACGACCAGCCACACUGGGACUAGGACACGGCCCAGACUCCUACGGGAGGCAGCAGUGGGGAAUUUUGGACAAUGGGCGAAAGCCUGAUCCAGCAAUGCCGCGUGUGUGAUGAAGGCCUUCGGGUUGUAAAGCACUUUUGGCGGGAACGAAAAGGACUGUGCCAAUACCACGGUUCGAUGACGGUACCCGCAGAAUAAGCACCGGCUAACUACGUG
Molecule: ribosomal RNA, 484 nt
Filed under: uncultured bacterium
Lineage: Bacteria
Description: partial 16S ribosomal RNA
Rfam family: Bacterial small subunit ribosomal RNA
Source: RNAcentral